UACGGAGGGUGCAAGCGUUAAUCGGAAUUACUGGGCGUAAAGAGCUCGUAGGCGGUUUGUUGCGUCGGCUGUGAAAUCCCGAGGCUCAACCUCGGGUCUGCAGUCGAUACGAGCAAACUAGAGUGUUGCAGGGGAGACUGGAAUUCCUGGUGUAGCGGUGAAAUGCGCAGAUAUCAGGAGGAACACCGGUGGCGAAGGCGGGUCUCUGGGCAACAACUGACGCUGAGGAGCGAAAGCGUGGGGAGCGAACAGG
This 253-nucleotide ribosomal RNA is filed under the name uncultured bacterium. RNAcentral describes it as "partial 16S ribosomal RNA". It matches the Rfam family "Bacterial small subunit ribosomal RNA", at positions 524 to 776 of the family's 1533-position model. The record is from RNAcentral.